Molecule: small RNA, 6675 nt
Filed under: Pan troglodytes (chimpanzee)
Lineage: Eukaryota; Metazoa; Chordata; Mammalia; Primates; Hominidae
Description: retained intron
Source: RNAcentral
GGGAGCCGGCGGCUUGUGGACGUGAUGGAUGUGAACACCCAGAAGGGCACGGAGAUGAGCAUGUCCCAGUUUGUGCGUUACUACGAGACGCCCGAGGCCCAGCGGGACAAGCUGUACAACGUCAUCAGCCUAGAGUUCAGCCACACCAAGCUGGAGCACUUGGUCAAGCGUCCGACUGUGGUAGACCUGGUGGACUGGGUGGACAACAUGUGGCCCCAGCAUCUGAAGGAGAAGCAGACAGAAGCCACGAACGCCAUUGCAGAGAUGAAGUACCCGAAAGUGAAGAAGUACUGUCUGAUGAGCGUGAAAGGUUGUUUCACUGACUUCCACAUCGACUUUGGAGGCACUUCCGUUUGGUACCAUGUUUUCCGGGGUGGGAAGAUUUUUUGGCUGAUUCCUCCAACGCUGCACAAUUUGGCGCUGUACGAGGAGUGGGUGCUGUCAGGCAAACAGAGUGACAUCUUUCUGGGAGACCGUGUGGAACGAUGCCAAAGAAUUGAGCUGAAGCAGGGCUACACAUUUUUCAUCCCUUCCGGUUGGAUCCAUGCCGUCUACACCCCUGUAGACUCUUUGGUGUUCGGCGGAAACAUCCUGCACAGCUUUAACGUGCCCAUGCAGCUGCGGAUCUACGAGAUCGAGGACAGGACGCGGGUGCAGCCCAAAUUCCGUUACCCCUUCUACUAUGAGAUGUGCUGGUAUGUCCUGGAGAGAUACGUGUACUGUGUGACCCAGCGCUCCCACCUCACUCAGGAAUACCAGAGGGAGUCGAUGCUUAUUGAUGCCCCGAGGAAGCCCAGCAUAGACGGCUUCUCUUCGGAUUCCUGGCUGGAGAUGGAGGAGGAGGCCUGUGAUCAGCAGCCUCAGGAGGAGGAGGAGAAGGACGAGGAGGGCGAGGGCAGGGACAGGGCACCCAAACCGCCCGCCGAUGGCUCCACUUCACCCACCAGCACGCCCUCCGAGGACCAGGAGGCCCUCGGGAAGAAGCCCAAAGCACCUGCCCUGCGAUUCCUCAAAAGGACUUUGUCUAACGAGUCGGAGGAGAGUGUGAAGUCCACCACAUUGGCCGUAGACUACCCCAAGACCCCCACCGGCUCUCCCGCCACGGAGGUCUCUGCCAAAUGGACCCAUCUCACCGAGUUUGAACUGAAGGGCCUGAAAGCUCUGGUGGAGAAACUGGAAUCCCUCCCGGAGAACAAGAAGUGUGUCCCCGAGGGCAUCGAGGACCCCCAGGCACUCCUGGAGGGUGUGAAGAACGUCCUGAAGGAGCACGCGGAUGAUGAUCCUAGUCUGGCCAUCACUGGGGUCCCUGUGGUGACUUGGCCAAAGAAGACUCCAAAGAACCGGGCUGUGGGUCGGCCCAAGGGGAAGCUGGGCCCGGCCUCCGCGGUGAAGUUGGCCGCCAACCGGACAACGGCAGGAGCUCGGCGGCGCCGGACGCGAUGCCGCAAGUGCGAGGCCUGCCUGCGGACCGAGUGCGGAGAGUGCCACUUCUGCAAGGACAUGAAGAAGUUCGGGGGCCCCGGGCGCAUGAAGCAGAGCUGCAUCAUGCGGCAGUGCAUCGCGCCAGUGCUGCCCCACACCGCCGUGUGCCUUGUGUGUGGCGAGGCGGGGAAGGAAGACACGGUGGAAGAGGAGGAAGGCAAGUUUAACCUCAUGCUCAUGGAGUGCUCCAUCUGCAAUGAAAUCAUCCACCCUGGAUGCCUUAAGGUGAGUGGCCCAGUGGGGACAGGUGGUGCUGACGCUCUGGGGCAGGUAGGGUUGCUGGAGAUGCUGGUGAGAUGGUGGGAUGCAGGUCGUGCAGUGAAUUCCUGGAGGACCCCUGAGUCUGGGUGAUCCUCUGUGUCAAGGGAUAAGCCCGGGGCAAGGAGGGCCUGGAGUACCUCAGAGACCCAGUGUCAUCAAAGGAAUAAACACACCCCCACCUCCCAGGAUGUCAGAACCAGAGAGGGUUUCCAGAGACUCAGCGGAUGGCAAACACAGGCUGCUUGUUUGUAGCUGGGCCAGAGGGAGCGCCUCCAGGUGGCUCCAGGCUUCUGGGAGAACAAGGCCCCACACCACACUCCUUCCCCCAGCACCCAGUAGAGUCCUCUGCAGAGUCCUUUCUGCAUGCCAGGCGCUGAACUGGUGGCUUUACCUGGGUCAUACCCCCCCAGUGAGAUGGGCACACUAACUUUUAUGGCCGAGGACACCAGCCCACAGAGACGGAGUGUCUUGCCCAGGGUCCCAGAGAAGCAAAGGGGCUCAGCCUCUGAACCCUGGCCUGGAUCCACAGCUGCCCGUCUCUGCCAGCCUCUGCAGCUGUGUUUUCUUUUGGCUGGAAAUGGGAUAGACGUGACGUUGGGGAGGGGGUGCUGCUGCUUCUGGAAGACGUGGCGUCACAGAGCCUUGUGCCCGUGGGCCGUCUUCUCCGCCCGUCCCUCUUCUGAGUCCUGGUGUUCCCCGCAGAUUAAGGAGUCAGAGGGUGUGGUCAACGACGAGCUUCCAAACUGCUGGGAGUGUCCGAAGUGUAACCACGCCGGCAAGACCGGGAAACAAAAGCGUGGCCCUGGCUUUAAGUACGCCUCCAACCUGCCCGGCUCCCUGCUCAAGGAGCAGAAGAUGAACCGGGACAACAAGGAAGGGCAGGAACCUGCCAAGCGGAGGAGUGAGUGUGAGGAGGCGCCCCGGCGCAGGUCGGAUGAGCACCCGAAGAAGGUGCCGCCGGACGGCCUCCUGCGCAGAAAGUCUGAUGACGUGCACCUGAGGAAGAAGCGGAAAUACGAGAAGCCCCAGGAGCUGAGUGGACGCAAGCGGGCCUCAUCGCUUCAAACGUCCCCCGGUUCCUCCUCUCACCUCUCGCCGAGGCCCCCUCUAGGCAGCAGCCUCAGCCCCUGGUGGAGAUCCAGUCUCACUUACUUCCAGCAGCAGGUGCUCCCACGACGCAUGCCCUCCUGAGGCCCCGGGGACUGGCGAGUCCUGGGCUGUCCCCCACCCCACCCCGCUGGUCCUCCACCCCACUGCUGCCUCUCCUGAGGCUUCCCAGGUCUCGGCCCCAGAUCUCUGGCUCGUGGUUCUGGCUUGGGGCCUGGGAAGCUGUCUGUGCCUAGAGCCUCUGUUGGUUGGGAUGGAAGCUGUGAGUCCAGGGAACCUCUGAGGAGCCUGGUGGCCCUGCUCCACCCACGGGCCGUGCUGUCACCAGCCACAAGGUGGCGCCAGGAGUCUCUCCCAGCUCUAGCCAUUCCUGCUGGGCCGGGGAUUCCCACAGGGCUGUGCUCCAGAACUGGCUCCCAGAGCCGAGGAUGAUUUGAAUGGGCGGCUGCACAUCUCCGGGUCUGUGGGGUGGGAGGUCAGUUGGGUGGGAACAGUUCAACUGUACUCCUACUUCCAGCUUCUUCCUUGAAAGCUGCAGGCAGGGCUCGCCCGUCUGUCGGUCAGACGUGGAGAUGGCAUUUGUGGGGAAGGCCUCCCUCCAGCCCCUCCUCUGGAGACUGUGGACUCGUGGUGGGGUGGGGUGUCGAGGAGACCAAAUCCCACGAGCCCGGGGAGCAAGCUCUGCGUCCUUUCUUUUUCGUGACAGCUCAAACCUGGCAAAGAAGAUAAGCUUUUCAGGAAAAAGGUACCAUCUUCCCCUCCCUCCUGUGCCCCAGGCCUGAGCGGUUAGAGCUGCACCGCAGCUCCCUGGGCCACAGUCCCGUGGCAGUGGGGCGGGAGGCCUUGGGCGGGUGCAGCCCUGAGCCCCAGAGGCUGACGCGUCUCCGCUCUCGCCCUCAGCGGCGGUCCUGGAAGAACGCCGAGGACCGCAUGGCGCUGGCCAACAAGCCCCUCCGGCGCUUCAAGCAGGAACCCGAGGACGAACUGCCCGAGGCGCCCCCCAAGACCAGGGAGAGCGACCACUCCCGCUCCAGCUCCCCCACCGCGGGACCCAGCACCGAAGGGGCCGAGGGCCCGGAGGAGAAGAAGAAGGUGAAGAUGCGCCGGAAGCGGCGGCUUCCCAACAAGGAGCUGAGCAGGGAGCUGAGCAAGGAGCUCAACCACGAGAUCCAGAGGACGGAGAACAGCCUGGCCAACGAGAACCAGCAGCCCAUCAAGUCGGAGCCCGAGAGCGAGGGCGAGGAGCCCAAGCGGCCCCCGGGCAUCUGCGAGCGUCCCCACCGCUUCAGCAAGGGGCUCAACGGCACCCCCCGGGAGCUGCGGCACCAGCUGGGGCCCAGCCUGCGCAGCCCGCCCCGUGUCAUCUCCCGGCCCCCACCCUCCGUGUCUCCGCCCAAGUGUAUCCAGAUGGAGCGCCAUGUGAUCCGGCCACCCCCCAUCAGCCCCCCGCCUGACUCGCUACCCCUGGACGAUGGGGCAGCCCACGUCAUGCACAGGGAGGUGUGGAUGGCCGUCUUCAGCUACCUCAGCCACCAAGACCUGUGUGUGUGCAUGCGGGUCUGCAGGACCUGGAACCGCUGGUGCUGCGAUAAGCGGUUGUGGACCCGCAUUGACCUGAACCACUGCAAGUCUAUCACACCCCUGAUGCUGAGUGGCAUCAUCCGGCGACAGCCCGUCUCCCUCGACCUCAGCUGGACCAAUAUCUCCAAGAAGCAGCUGAGCUGGCUCAUCAACCGGCUGCCUGGGCUCCGGGACUUGGUGCUGUCAGGCUGCUCAUGGAUCGCGGUCUCGGCCCUUUGCAGCUCCAGUUGUCCGCUGCUCCGGACCCUGGAUGUCCAGUGGGUGGAGGGACUAAAGGAUGCCCAGAUGCGGGAUCUCCUGUCCCCGCCCACAGACAACAGGCCAGGUGAGUUGCCAGGCUGGGGGUUUCUGUGGGGGUGGGGUGAGCGAGCUAGGCUGUUGGAUCUGCUUUUACCCUCAGACCCCAGCUGUUCCCCAAAGGACAUAGGGAUGAGUCUCUGCUGCCAUGUUCUCAGUUUGCUUCAGGCACAGAGGGGAUCUGGGAGGAGGCAGGGGCUCCUGUGCACACGCGAGACUCGCUCCUGGGGCUCCGCGUGCGUCUCACUGCUUUCCUGUUGACUCGCUCAUGGGGCUCUGCGUGUGUCUCACUGCUUUCUUAUUGACUCGCUCAUGGGGCUCUGCGUGCAUCUCACUUCUUUUCUGUUGACUUGCCCCUCGUUGGUUUCAAGCCUCCACUGCCAUCGGGAUCAGUGUGGUUGUGCAAGGGCUUCCAGGAUGGCACCUCCCCCUGGACUGGGCUGGACUGCCUAGGUCCGUGCUUCUCGCCAAGCCAUGGGGAUCGGAGAUGCUGCGCAGCCUCUGCACUGGUUGGCUGAUGACUACUGGGUGGAAUGUGGGCUUAGUGUUUCUAGGUCUUUUAGUUUUUCAAGAGAAUCUGAAAAUCUAAGUUUUGAUGUGGAGUCUGAUUUUUCACUGUUGGAAUUAUGAUUUUGGGAGGAAGCAGUUUAUAACUCAAUGAAAUCUGAGUGUUCUCUCUGGCUGGUGGGCCUUUUAGAGUGUCAUGUCAGCAUGACCGGGCCUCCUCGGUCAGAUUGACGGGUUGCCCCCUCCUUCCUGCCCCACCAGGUCAGAUGGACAAUCGGAGCAAGCUCCGGAACAUCGUGGAGCUGCGCCUGGCAGGCCUGGACAUCACAGAUGCCUCCCUGCGGCUCAUCAUCCGCCACAUGCCCCUGCUCUCCAAGCUCCACCUCAGUUACUGUAACCACGUCACCGACCAGUCCAUCAACCUGCUCACCGCUGUUGGCACCACCACCCGAGACUCCUUAACCGAGAUCAACCUGUCUGACUGCAAUAAGGUCACUGAUCAGUGCCUGUCCUUCUUCAAACGCUGUGGAAACAUCUGUCAUAUUGACCUGAGGUACUGCAAGCAAGUCACCAAGGAAGGCUGUGAGCAGUUCAUAGCCGAGAUGUCUGUGAGUGUCCAGUUUGGGCAAGUAGAAGAGAAACUCCUGCAAAAACUGAGUUAGUCCAAGGAUAAGUAUGUAAAUACGGGGCGGGCUCUGGGAGGGGAGAGACUUUACAAAAAUGAGGGCUUUUAUUUUCCAUUUGGAACGUGGGACAACAGACCACAACGCAAUUCCAUUUUGCAAGUCUUUCCAAGGGAGAAGCUGUUCAACCACCCGUUUGGGGGAUGAGUGAGCCGACACUUUCCUUUGGUCUUUCUAAAUCGUAACUGCACUGCUCUCUGGACCAUUUCUAAGGCGGCCUUUACAAGAAGACAUUCCUGUCGGAGAGGAGGGUGGACUUCGGAGAAAUUCUCAUACUGAAGCAUGAGCUUAGGAGUUUCUAUUAGUGGUAGUGGUGUUUUGGACACUUCAUUCCUUGCAACACCGAGGUUUUGGGUGUUGACAUAAAGUGGACCACACACCACAUCUGCUGCCGUCUUGACACUUUUUUUUUUUGGUUGGUUUUGUUACAUCUUACAUUAUGCAGAACUAUUUUUGUACAAAUUGUUUAAAAGUUAUUUAUGCAAGGUUUGAAUGCAUACCAGUGUUUUUAUUGUUUUGAGAUUGCCAAUUUUCCUGAUUUCCUUAAGGUAGGAGAGAAUUUAACGUGUACUUCAUCGACACAACCCAUCUACAAAUGUGCCCAGAUCUAACAAAGUAGGCUAAGACCUUCCACUUAAAAGCAUGUUUAACUGGAAGUUGAGAGUCUGCUUUGUACCUCAAGAGUUACAUGAGCAUGUUGUGGAUAAAUGUAAAUUAUAGUCAAAGUAAGAUACUCUGCCAAGUUUCCUCUGUAGAG